AUAUAUAUAUAGAAAGUCUAUUAGUGACCCUGGGUGAAGAAUAAGUAAUUCCUCACCCGGGUCGAUCGACCGAGCGAUGGUAGUUUGACUAAACGCCAGCCAAUGUAAUUUUACUUCGAGGGAAACUUUAGCUGGUCGCCCACUCCCCCAAAUGUCAGAAGGAAAAAAAAACUAGCCCACUCCUCCAGUCCGUUCCUAUCUCCCUCCGGCCCCUCACAUCUCGUCAUUGCGGCGGCGGCGGCGGCAGCGACGGCGCCGGACGGACGACCCGGCGGCGAGGACUACCUCUCUUGCGCGUGGAGUACUUCCCUUACCUCUCUCAUGCGGUAGCGACUCGGAGGCGCCGUGGGCGGUGCAAGAUCUGGGCGAGCUCGGCAGGACGACGGCGUUCUCCGGCGUCCCUCUUCACCGUCGACGGUAUUAUCAUCAGUUUUCAAGCUUUGGGUGCCUGCGGCCGGCUCGACGGGUGGCAUCAGCAAGCGUCGGCCGGCCUCGGCACUGCUGUUGGUGGUUAUAUGGUGGGCGGAGCACACUAGUGGGCUUCAACGUCAGGGUACGGUGGCGUGCUAAAUCCUGAGUCCUGCUAGGCUUUUUUUGGUUCAGGUUUUGUUACUGUUUUCCAUUCGGGGUUAUGUGGCGAGCAAACCUAGCAUUUGCAGUUAGUUGUUUCAGAAAUUCAUCUCCUGACAUCAAAUUUCGAUACGUAAGGUUAAUCCUGCCAACAAAUCUAUGUUAUGGGCUUGCUAGUUCUCUUCAUAUCUCUAUGCUGAUUUUGUGUGCAAUUUAGAUGAAUACUUUCUGUUUUAUUCAGGGAUACGUUCAGCAUGCUUGUGAGGUACACAUUUUUCAGUUCCAAUUAUAAGUGUUUGCCUUAUUUAUCGCUCAAAUUUCAUGUUCUAAAGAUGCUCCUUCACUUCAAUACAGCGUUGGCAUGUAGGAUGACUAUCUAUCCAAAUUAUCAUGUACAAUUUUUUUAAAAAAAUUGGCUCUUCUUCUGCAUGUCUCUAAGGCAUACUUUCUGAUCUAUCAUGAGAUAAUGAUUAUUUCUUCUUCUUUCUUAACAUGCCGCUAGUUGCUAUGAAAAUUUAACACAUACAUCAGCCUUUUGUCAUUGAAACAAAAUCAUAUCUGCCAAGUUUCUACAUUCCGUCGAAGCUUGCAGAUUUACCAUCUAACUUGGCACAUUAUUGAAACAAAUCGUAACCAUGGAUUCUAUACGGAAGAUCGACAUAUCAUUUUUACAUUAGAUUCAUGUAUACUGUAAGGAAUUGAUUUUGUUCAACUUCAACCCAUUUUCCUAUCUUGCAAAGCUGUCCAUUCAAGUAUAUUCAAUUUCUACUAUGUGACUUAAUACAUUUGUAACACUGGCAUAGUGACAUUGACAUGCUUUUCUUUUUCGUCCGUUUAAUAUUGAUUCAUCUACAUGGUUAUAUGCAUGCCUUUGCAUAAAUUACUUAUCCAGUCUGCUAUUGAUCAUUUCCAUUUUUCAUCCCGGCAGUACGCUGAUAGCUUAUCCAGUCUGCUAUUGAUCAUUACCUUUUUUCACCCUGGCAGUAUGCCGAUAGCUAUAAUCAAGUCAAUAGUUCCAAAAUGUUGGUUCACAAUUAUUUGUCUUUUUGGGAAGCACAUGGCUGGCUCCGGUUGGUGGCAUGGCCUUUCCAUUCUGAAUUGAAGAGGGUCUGAAAAGUUUGAACUAUCCAUGGAAUAGAAAAGAUACAGCUUUCCUUCAUAUCGUUGAUUCUUCUUAGUCUUCCUUUUGUGAAGUUGUGUAGCAAUCUUCCUUUUCCUAUAUGUAAUUUGAUUUUCUUAGGAAUACUCCAUUUUCUUACGAACACGACGUCGUUGCGAUGCCUCCAGAUGCACCAGCAACAGAACAUGAAGAAUGUCGUGGCGAGGUGAGCGACAUCUGGCAGAUUGCGGACAGAGGCCACGGAAGGUGACCGGAACCCCAACGUGGCCCUGAAAUCAACCACCAAUGGGCAAGCAUAGAGGAGGUGACUCGCUGACUGCAGCGGGGAAUGGCGGAGUGGGCAACUAUUCCACGCUCUAAAAUUGAGGUUUAGAGCAAUUAAAAAGAAUCAUGUUCCUGCUUUUUUCUCCUUGCUGUGAGUGUAUUGGAGUAUAGGGUUCUCCCUGGAGGGUCGUGUAAUCAAUGUGCUAUCUGAGGCAAUGUAUAGAGUUCCAGUUCUGUUUUUCUUGAGGGCUGACCCUGUAAAUUCUAGCUCUGUUUUC
Aegilops tauschii subsp. strangulata is the source of this 2232-nucleotide non-coding RNA. The record is from RefSeq and is a predicted model, not a curated record. Lineage: Eukaryota; Viridiplantae; Streptophyta; Magnoliopsida; Poales; Poaceae.